Molecule: unclassified non-coding RNA, 159 nt
Filed under: uncultured Ascomycota
Lineage: Eukaryota; Fungi; Ascomycota
Description: sequence contains ITS1
Source: RNAcentral
CAGAGUUGCAAAACUCCCAAAACCAUUGUGGACGAACUUGAUAGUUGCUUCGGCAGGUCGGCCCAGCGCCGCACGGUGGCUCCUCGCGAGCCCGCCUGCCGGAGUCGCCUAAACUCUUGAUUAUUGUUAGCAUCUCUGAGUAACUUAUUCAAUAAGUCA